UCCAGCAGCUAUAUCACCCUGCAACGCACAACUGACAAUCCACUGGAGCUCAGCAGGUGUGAGCCUGGUCAGUACCUGGAUGGGAGACUCCUGGGAAAGCCAACGUUGCUGCUGGAA
RNAcentral lists this ribosomal RNA (117 nucleotides) under Lepisosteus oculatus (spotted gar). Lineage: Eukaryota; Metazoa; Chordata; Actinopteri; Semionotiformes; Lepisosteidae. The record is from RNAcentral.